GACAAAUGUUAUUAAAUCCAAAUCGAUAGAUAGUGAAAGCAAACCAAUGGCAACAAACUUGUAGCAGUUGUAAGAACAUAAUUCAUAAUAAUCGCGAUUAUUUCUAAGGGAAAGUGACACAUCUAACUCAAGUAGAGGCUACAUCUUCUGAGUCCUAGGAAAACAAGGGAGUACAUAAUCUACUCUGGUACCAUGUUGCAACAUAUCCAUGUUGACUACAAGUGCAUGGCAAUUCAGUAACAUCAAAUGUCGUAUCCACCAGAAAUGGGGACACACUCGGAGAAGGAUGAGGCUCAUUGUUGUUGUGUACUCCCUAGCAGUACCGAAUUGUUGAACUUUCUAAUAAUUUAAUAUUGGCAUAUAAUUGACGUUGCCAAAGCUCAAAGCUCAAAACUCAAGAACAGAACUAAGUUGUGCACUUAUGGGACAUUCAUAACUUGAAUGGACUGCAGCAUAUCAGAAACAGCGAUGAUGAGGUCACCUGACUUGAUCAUGCCCCGAGCUUUUAGUAGGGAGAAAGUUUUGUUUAGGUUGCUUUCCAUAUCAUCAGAGUAAUUCAAGCGGAAAGGCAUUAGACCCCAUUGCAGGUUCAGGCGUCUACGUACAGAUGUUGCUGUCGUAAAUGCAAAUAUUGGGCAAUCAGGGCGACAGCGUGACAAGAGAGAUGCCAUGUGCCCAUUCUUGGUGUAAACAAAAAGAGCAUCAACUUCCAAAUUGUUAGCCAUCUUGGCGGCAGAGUUGCAAAUUUCUUCUGAAAUACUAUCAGAAAAUGAAGAUGCUAUGGAUGGCAAUUCAAUAACUUCGCGGCGUUUCUGUUCUCUCCACCUUCUUUCGAUUCUCAAGCUAACAGUUCUUAGAACAGUCAAUGCCUUCUCAGGAAAUUGUCCCAUGGCCGACUCACCAGAAAGCAUCAAAGCAUCCCCCCGUUGCCUAACUGCUUCGGAAACAUCAGCAACUUCAGCUCUAGUUGGAAUAGGGUAUUCAAUCAUAGAUUCCAACAACUGGGAAGCUACUAUAACAGGCCUAUUCAGCUGCCUGCAUAGCUGAACAAUCUUUUGCUGCUCUGAUGGAACCUGUUCUAAUGGAAUUUGAGCACCAAGAUCUCCUCUUGCCACCAUAGCACCAUCUGAUGCCUGAAUUAUUUCUUCUAGGUUCCUCAACGAGUCAAUGCUCUCUAUCUUUGCAAUUACAGCAAUAUCACCAUCCCGGGCCCUGGCUUUAAUGUAGCUCUUAAGAUGCUUAAUGACUUCAGCAGACUUGACAAAUGAU
RNAcentral lists this unclassified non-coding RNA (1269 nucleotides) under Hevea brasiliensis (rubber tree). Lineage: Eukaryota; Viridiplantae; Streptophyta; Magnoliopsida; Malpighiales; Euphorbiaceae. The record is from RNAcentral.